This is an RNA transcript of Perca flavescens (yellow perch), 1481 nucleotides long. RefSeq lists it as uncharacterized. Lineage: Eukaryota; Metazoa; Chordata; Actinopteri; Perciformes; Percidae. The record is from RefSeq and is a predicted model, not a curated record. The transcript is spliced from 7 exons.
UUUUGCACCAUAUUUACCUUCAUAGGAAACUCUUCUCAGUGGAUUGUCCACAAACAUUUCUAAGAUGCAUGCUUAGCUCAGUUCAUAAAUAGCCUUACCACUUCCUCAUAUUGCACAUUAAGCAAAAUGGAGCUUGUCGUACUUCUCUGUGCCGUUUCUCUGCUGCAUUCAUGUGAAGCACAAGAGCCCAGUGCUGUGACUCCUGUGUUUGUGAAGAAGGGAGAGGAUGUGCUUCUGAAUGUCACAAUAGCUGAUGUUCCUAAAGACGAUACUGUUACCUGGAAAUUCAAUCAAACAGUUAAUUUAGUACGAUUUUUAGCUGGAACAGAAACAAUCUUUGGUGAUUACCCUGGAAGGAUUGAGGUGCUUGAGAACUACUCUGUGAAACUGAAGAAUCUACAAGAGGCAGACAGUGGAGUUUAUAUUGCAGUAGUGUCUGGGGAUACAGAAAAACAAAUAACUGGAUACAAGGUCACAGUUCAAGAUCCAGUGUCUCCAGUUACACUGUCCGUGGACUCUGUGUCUAAUAGCUCAGACUGGUGUAACCUGACAGUGAGCUGCAGAGCACAGGACUCUCACAUUAACAGCACCUUUAGAUGUCUCAACCACACCUGCAGUCAGGAGGGAGGAGAGAGACCACAGGUCACACCCUCUGCUGCUGAUCUCCAUGUCUACCUGUCCAAAGGCUCCAUCAUCUGUAACCAUAGCAACCAGGUCAGCUGGACCAAGGACAUCAAAAUAAUUAAACAUUUCUGCCCCCUACUUGCUGAGCCUGAACCUGCCAUCAAUGUUACUGCCCGUAUCCUUGGUGUUAUCGCCGUAGUUUUGAUUUGCAUCUUAAUUGUUGUAGCAGUUCAGUAUUUUCCAAAGAGAGAAAAGAAUGAAACAGAAAGCAGGGAGAAUACAGUAUAUGAUGUUCUUCAGGUGAUCUAUUAACUGUAUGUGACCUGUGACUCCUCGCUACACCGUCUUCUGCAUCAUCAGCUGUUCCAGCUCCUGCUGCUUGCUCCUACCUGCCUCAUGCACACACCACUGGUUGUGCUGCUUGCUUGUGCUUACAUUUAAUGCGUUGGACCUGGGAAACAUCCAGAUGAUCAACAAUCCAUCUGUCCAAACCAGCUGCUGAGGUCGGACCUAGAGCUCAGAGUGAGAGUGAAGUUAUAGGUCUUUCUCCAAACUCCACCUACUGCUUGGUAGGGCCUCACACUGGAUCUGUGGAUUCAAGUACAACAAGAGGCACGACUCUGCCAGAGAGUCUUUAUGCCCAGGUGAAUAAACCUGCCAGGUCCUAAACAAGUAAUCAGCAUGGUGUUCUACAUUCUACUACACUGGCAUAAAUUUACAAUUUGUAAUUGUUGGGUAACCAGGAAACCUAGAGCAAAGUAGACUGGAUGAACGGUUUAAGAGAUAGCUCAAAGACAGACCACACACACAGACACACACACACACACACACACACACACUCUCACACACACACACAC